This 62-nucleotide transfer RNA is filed under the name Scelimena melli. RNAcentral describes it as "tRNA-Arg". The record is from RNAcentral. Lineage: Eukaryota; Metazoa; Arthropoda; Insecta; Orthoptera; Tetrigidae.
CAAUAAGAAGCUAUAAAGCGGUCAAUUUCGACCUGACAUAAUGGUAAAUCUACCCUUAUUGA